This 488-nucleotide ribosomal RNA is filed under the name Gemella haemolysans. Its description in RNAcentral is "bacterial SSU rRNA". It matches the Rfam family "Bacterial small subunit ribosomal RNA", at positions 28 to 497 of the family's 1533-position model. Lineage: Bacteria; Bacillati; Bacillota; Bacilli; Caryophanales; Gemellaceae. The record is from RNAcentral.
GACGAACGCGGCGGCGUGCCUAAUACAUGCAAGUCGAGCGAAGUUUUUCUGGUGCUUGCACCGGAAAAACUUAGCGGCGAACGGGUGAGUAACACGUAAAGAACCUGCCUCAUAGACUGGGACAACUAUUGGAAACGAUAGCUAAUACCGGAUAACAGCAUUAACUGCAUGGUUGAUGUUUAAAAGUUGGUUUUGCUAACACUAUGAGAUGGCUUUGCGGUGCAUUAGCUAGUUGGUGGGGUAAAGGCCUACCAAGGCGACGAUGCAUAGCCGACCUGAGAGGGUGAUCGGCCACACUGGGACUGAGACACGGCCCAGACUCCUACGGGAGGCAGCAGUAGGGAAUCUUCCGCAAUGGGCGAAAGCCUGACGGAGCAACGCCGCGUGAGUGAAGAAGGAUUUCGGUUCGUAAAGCUCUGUUGUUAGGGAAGAAUGAUUGUGUAGUAACUAUACACAGUAGAGACGGGACCUAACCAGAAAGCCACGCA